CAAGUGAGACGCAAGUUAAUAAAGAUGAGCUCCGCAAAAUCUUAUUAUAACGAAUUAAGUGACAAAACCGGAAAGUGCUCUUUAUGUUCUAAAAUAAUUAAAACAAGUGGAAAUACUUCAAAUUUACUGUCGCACCUUAAAAAUAGGCACCAGGCUGCAUACACAAAAUGUGUAAGCAAGAGCUCCUCAAAAGAAGACGCAGAUUCAAUACAACCAACGAUUUCAAAAUCGUUCAUGAAUGCGGAAAAUUGCAAGGACAAAACUAAGCAAGUUACUGAAUCAUUGAUAUAUAUGAUUUGCAAAGAUAAUUUGCCUGUGCGUUGUGUUGACAAGGAGGGUCUCUCAAAUUUCUUAAAAACAUGUGUACCCAAAUAUGAGCUUCCAAGUCGUACAA
Molecule: long non-coding RNA, 394 nt
Organism: Drosophila busckii
Lineage: Eukaryota; Metazoa; Arthropoda; Insecta; Diptera; Drosophilidae
Exons: 3
Source: RefSeq, a predicted model, not a curated record